GGUCGCGUAGCUCAGUCGGAAGAGCACUCGGUCGAUAACCGAGAGGUCGCUGGAUCGUUUCCAGCCGUGGCUACCA
This 76-nucleotide transfer RNA is filed under the name Caenimonas koreensis DSM 17982. Its description in RNAcentral is "tRNA-Ile". It matches the Rfam family "tRNA". From Rfam's summary of the family: Transfer RNA (tRNA) molecules are approximately 80 nucleotides in length. The record is from RNAcentral. Lineage: Bacteria; Pseudomonadati; Pseudomonadota; Betaproteobacteria; Burkholderiales; Comamonadaceae.